CGCACAUUGCGCUCCCUGGUAUUCCUAGGAGCAUGUCUGUCUGAGCGUCAGUACACACCCUCUGAUCUUCGAUUUUUGUUGUCGAUCGGGUACUGAGCGGGGAGAGCGCGCGAGCGUGAGCCCCCCCUCUAAAGUGGAAAGCCAGCGGCCCGCCUGCCCAUGAAAGACGUAGUAAGCUAAAGACCUCGUCCGCGAAAGGGUUCCAAGGUGUCAGGCUCGCCUCGAAACUAUUCUAAGGUUUGACCUCAGAUCAGACAAGAUUACCCGCUGAACUUAA
RNAcentral lists this unclassified non-coding RNA (277 nucleotides) under Ascomycota sp. Its description in RNAcentral is "partial contains 5.8S ribosomal RNA, internal transcribed spacer 2, and large subunit ribosomal RNA". Lineage: Eukaryota; Fungi; Ascomycota. The record is from RNAcentral.